GAUGAACGCUGGCGGCGUGCUUAACACAUGCAAGUCCAACGAAGCAUUUAAGACAGAUUCCUUCGGUUUGAAGUCUUUUAUGACUGAGUGGCGGACGGGUGAGUAACGCGUGGGUAACCUGCCUCAUACAGGGGGAUAGCAGCUGGAAACGGCUGGUAAUACCGCAUAAGCGCACAGUACCACAUGGUACAGUGUGAAAAACUCCGGUGGUAUGAGAUGGACCCGCGUCUGAUUAGCUUGUUGGCGGGGUAACGGCCCACCAAGGCGACGAUCAGUAGCCGACCUGAGAGGGUGACCGGCCACAUUGGGACUGAGACACGGCCCAGACUCCUACGGGAGGCAGCAGUGGGGAGUAUUGCACAAUGGAGGAAACUCUGAUGCAGCGACGCCGCGUGAGUGAAGAAGUAGUUCGCUAUGUAAAGCUCUAUCAGCAGGGAAGAUAGUGACGGUACCUGACUAAGAAGCUCCGGCUAAAUACGUG
This 481-nucleotide ribosomal RNA is filed under the name uncultured bacterium. Its description in RNAcentral is "partial 16S ribosomal RNA". It matches the Rfam family "Bacterial small subunit ribosomal RNA", at positions 28 to 507 of the family's 1533-position model. The record is from RNAcentral.